CCUACGGGGGGCAGCAGUGGGGAAUAUUGGACAAUGGGGGGAACCCUGAUCCAGCGACGCCGCGUGAGUGAAGAAGUAUUUCGGUAUGUAAAGCUCUAUCAGCAGGGAAGAAAGAAAUGACGGUACCUGACUAAGAAGCCCCGGCUAACUACGUUCCAGCAGCCGCGGUAAUACGUAGGGGGCAAGCGUUAUCCGGAUUUACUGGGUGUAAAGGGAGCGUAGACGGCGAUGCAAGUCUGAAGUGAAAGGCGGGGGCGCAACCCCCGGACUGCUUUGGAAACUGUAUGGCUGGAGUGCAGGAGAGGUAAGUGGAAUUCCUAGUGUAGCGGUGAAAUGCGUAGAUAUUAGGAGGAACACCAGUGGCGAAGGCGGCUUACUGGACUGUAACUGACGUUGAGGCUCGAAAGCGUGGGGAGCAAACAGGAUUAGAUACCCCUGUAGUC
RNAcentral lists this ribosomal RNA (443 nucleotides) under uncultured bacterium. Its description in RNAcentral is "partial 16S ribosomal RNA". It matches the Rfam family "Bacterial small subunit ribosomal RNA", at positions 338 to 795 of the family's 1533-position model. The record is from RNAcentral.